AACGAACGCUGGCGGCAUGCCUAACACAUGCAAGUCGAACGAGACCUUCGGGUCUAGUGGCGCACGGGUGCGUAACGCGUGGGAACCUGCCCUUAGGUUCGGAAUAACUCCCCGAAAGGGGUGCUAAUACCGGAUAAUGUCUUCGGACCAAAGAUUUAUCGCCUUUGGAUGGGCCCGCGUUGGAUUAGCUAGUUGGUAGGGUAAAAGCCUACCAAGGCGACGAUCCAUAGCUGGUCUGAGAGGAUGAUCAGCCACACUGGGACUGAGACACGGCCCAGACUCAUACGGGAGGAAGAAGGGGGGAAUAAGGAACAAAGGGCGAAUGAAUGAGGUAUCAAGGCCGGGAGAGGAAGGAGGGAGAGAGGGAAGUAAAGCGCGUGUAAAAGGGAUGAAAAUGACAGUACCGGGAGAAAAAGCGCCGGCUAACGCCGUG
This 433-nucleotide ribosomal RNA is filed under the name uncultured bacterium. RNAcentral describes it as "partial 16S ribosomal RNA". It matches the Rfam family "Bacterial small subunit ribosomal RNA", at positions 30 to 507 of the family's 1533-position model. The record is from RNAcentral.